AAUAUUGGACAAUGGGGGCAACCCUGAUCCAGCCAUGCCGCGUGUGUGAAGAAGGUCUUCGGAUUGUAAAGCACUUUAAGUUGGGAGGAGGGACUUUAGGCUAAUACCCUGAAGUUUUGACGUUCCCAACCAAAUAAGCACCGGCUAACCCUUUGCCCGCAGCCGAGGUAAUACAGAGGGUGCAAGCGUUAAUCGGAAUUACUGGGCGUAAAGCGCGCGUAGGUGGUUCAGUAAGAUGGGUGUGAAAUCCCCGGGCUUAACCUGGGAACUGCUUUCAUAACUGCUGAGCUAGAGUACGGUAGAGGGUAGUGGAAUUUCCUGUGUAGCGGUGAAAUGCGUAGAUAUAGGAAGGAACACCAGUGGCGAAGGCGACUACCUGGACUGAUACUGACACUGAGGUGCGAAAGCGUGGGGAGCAAA
Molecule: ribosomal RNA, 420 nt
Filed under: uncultured bacterium
Lineage: Bacteria
Description: partial 16S ribosomal RNA
Rfam family: Bacterial small subunit ribosomal RNA
Source: RNAcentral